GCUUGGUGGUUAUAGNAUGAGUGAAACACACGAUCCCAUCCCGAACUCGAAUGUGAAACCUCAUAGCGCUAAUGG
Molecule: ribosomal RNA, 75 nt
Filed under: uncultured Rickettsia sp.
Lineage: Bacteria; Pseudomonadati; Pseudomonadota; Alphaproteobacteria; Rickettsiales; Rickettsiaceae
Source: RNAcentral